This is a long non-coding RNA of Syngnathoides biaculeatus (alligator pipefish), 1182 nucleotides long. RefSeq lists it as uncharacterized. NCBI's taxonomy places the organism in Eukaryota, Metazoa, Chordata, Actinopteri, Syngnathiformes, Syngnathidae. The transcript is spliced from 4 exons. The record is from RefSeq and is a predicted model, not a curated record.
UGCAACAAACCCACUUCGCAGUAAAACUCCCAACUCGGAUUUGGUUCGCAGCCACGGAGACACUAUCUAUCCGGUGUUAAAACAAAACACUUAAGGGAAGAUGCUUUAUUUUUUUUUUGGUUUGGGGGUAGAAUUGAUGGCUAACCUCUCAAUGUUGAACUAGAAAUGGACCUAGUUAUACUUUACUUGAGUAUUUAGUCGAUAGGACAAUCCCUAUGGCCAUGCUAAGGUGGAGGGCCAAAGUGUUGCCAAAUGUCACGUAGCUAAGCUAGUGAGGAGAAAUUGUCAAUGCUUUCCAAGUUCUUGGACUUCUCGGUCGUAAAUCGAAAGCAACAAGGAUUCCUGCAAAUUCUACUGCGUGCAGUUGCACAGCUGUUGUACAAUCAAUAAUAAACCAACUCCCAACUGGAAACAAGGUACAGGUCAUGUGACCACCCGAGAGUCCACUCAAUCAAUCUCCUCGGCCACGCAAGCUGGCUGAAAACAGAAAAUGCGAGAAGGCCAAAGUUACUACCUCGUGCCUGUCCAACUAUCCACUCGUGCCUUUCACCAGACAAAGAGAAUUGUAACCCCAAACGGAAAAGACGAGCUUAUGAAAAACGAGAAAGAUUAAGAGAUAUGUGGAACGCCUGUUAGAAGAGCUCUGGACCCUCUAUGUGAAUGCGGACCUAACAACUUCCUUUGCUGACGCCCAAGCACCACCACCUCUCAACACAAAACCAAGUAAAGACUUGGCUACUCUGGAUCAUUUUUCCAAGACUUUCAAAUCAAAGCUGUUGAAAUGAUAUGUUGUGAAAGUAAAAAAAAAAUCAUGAAUUUCAAGAAGCCGAUUUAAAAACUGUGUCCAGUUUGUUAAACUGAAACUAAAUUGUAACCUGAUGGAACUUCAGUGGCAGAAGUUUUAUGUUACGAACUUCUGACGCAUGCUGAUUAACCAUGUUGCGCAAUGCAAAAAAUUAACGCAUGACUCUGGUCCGUUCAAUAGUCAUUUUGUCAACUUGUGUGAACCUCUGUAAAUAUGACCUCCAUGGUGAAAGCAAGCUGAGGUGGCAUACUCUGGAUUUGAACUCUCCAGCUCCUAAUGACAUUUUAUGGAAUGAAACAGUACCAUAUUUAGCAUGUGCAUACACAAAUGUUUAUUGAAUGAUGGUUUCACUUUCAGUGGUUUGUUUAAAAAAAAAA